Long non-coding RNA from Sinocyclocheilus grahami, 148 nucleotides. RefSeq lists it as uncharacterized. The record is from RefSeq and is a predicted model, not a curated record. The transcript is spliced from 3 exons. Lineage: Eukaryota; Metazoa; Chordata; Actinopteri; Cypriniformes; Cyprinidae.
AACAUCACAGUAAUCCACACCACUCCAGUCCAUCAAUUUACGCCUUGUGAAGUGAAAAGGUAUGCGCUUGUAAGAAACUAAUCCACCAGCAGGGCAUUUUAACUUUAAAUCAUCACUUCUGGCCCAAAUAUGAUGCAAUAAUCAAUAA